Hyaena hyaena (striped hyena) is the source of this 109-nucleotide small nuclear RNA. NCBI's taxonomy places the organism in Eukaryota, Metazoa, Chordata, Mammalia, Carnivora, Hyaenidae. The record is from RefSeq and is a predicted model, not a curated record.
AUGCUGGCUUCGAUAGCACCUAUACUAAAAUUACAAAUACAGAGAAGAAAGACUAGCAUGGCCCCUGUGCAAGGAUAAUAUAUUAAUUUGUGAAGCCUUCCAUAUUUUU